AUAAAUGUACUUUCUGUUAGUGGCAGAUAUGUGUACAGACGAUUCUGUAGAAGAAAGUAACUUUCAUGGAAGUAAAUCGGUUGACAGCGUAUCAUUACGAAUAACAAAACAACAAAACAACUGCAUAUGUCAUAUUACUUUACAAAAUACUGUAACUAAUUACACUAUAUACAUGUCUAAAUACGAAAAACAAAGCAAUGCGGCCCCAGAACAACAGAACUGUGGACUUGCAGUGGAUGUUGAAUAUAUAGAUACAUCGCAUACAACUCGAUCUCUUCAGUCGAUUGAAUGUACCAGUGGGACUGAUGUGAGGUCAAUUGCUCUAAGAGGAAGUGAACUGAAACUUAAAUCAAGGAUUAUAGAUGGUGACUUCACCAGGGGAUACUGUAUGCAAAUAUCAAGAAAUCAAACGAUAUAUACUUGCGAAAUGAAAGCACGUCAAGAAGGAUUAUCAGGUGAAGAUGUUGAUUGGAUGAAAGUAUUUCCUAUAAAAUCGUUUGAUGAAUGUGAAAGAUACUGCAUUCAAACUGAAGCUUGUGUUGCUGUUCAGUAUGAGUCAAGUUAUUGUUUUGUUUACAACCAGACGACAAUAUUGUCUUAUAAAGAUGAUGUAAUUUACUCACAGAAGCAAUGUUUUGACAAUCAAAAAUUAAAAAUAAAGUGUCACCCUCCAGAAUCAACAACGCAAACAAACUAGGGAAGU
Long non-coding RNA from Mytilus californianus (California mussel), 703 nucleotides. RefSeq lists it as uncharacterized. The transcript is spliced from 3 exons. The record is from RefSeq and is a predicted model, not a curated record. NCBI's taxonomy places the organism in Eukaryota, Metazoa, Mollusca, Bivalvia, Mytilida, Mytilidae.